This is a small nuclear RNA of Eriocheir sinensis (Chinese mitten crab), 191 nucleotides long. RefSeq annotates it as U2 spliceosomal RNA. Lineage: Eukaryota; Metazoa; Arthropoda; Malacostraca; Decapoda; Varunidae. The transcript has a single exon. The record is from RefSeq and is a predicted model, not a curated record.
CUUGAUCCACUGAUUUAAGGCUAAGAUCAAAGUGUAGUAUCUGUUCUUAUCAGCUUAAUAUCUGAUACAAUCCCCAUGUGGGAUCUAUGAUAUUAAUCUGAUUUUUGGACUAUGGCGAAGUGCUAGGGGCUUGCUCCACCUUGCUUGGUCACACUCCUUAAGGAACAACCAGGGAAACCAAAACAUUUUUU